RNAcentral lists this ribosomal RNA (627 nucleotides) under uncultured bacterium. RNAcentral describes it as "bacterial SSU rRNA". The stretch from base 1 to 539 matches the Rfam family "Bacterial small subunit ribosomal RNA", at positions 338 to 873 of the family's 1533-position model. The record is from RNAcentral.
CCUACGGGAGGCAGCAGUGGGGAAUAUUGGACAAUGGGCGAAAGCCUGAUCCAGCAAUUCCGCGUGUGUGAAGAAGGCCUUCGGGUUGUAAAGCACUUUAGUGGGGGAAGAAACAGCUUGGCCACACCAAGCCUUGACGGUACCCCAAGAAUAAGCACCGGCUAACUCUGUGCCAGCAGCCGCGGUAAUACAGAGGGUGCAAGCGUUAAUCGGAUUUACUGGGCGUAAAGGGUGCGUAGGUGGCUAUUUAAGUCGGAUGUGAAAGCCCGGGGCUCAACCUCGGAAUUGCAUUCGAUACUGAGUGGCUAGAGUUCGGUAGAGGGCGGCGGAAUUUCCGGUGUAGCGGUGAAAUGCGUAGAUAUCGGAAGGAACAUCAAUGGCGAAGGCAGCCGCCUGGGCCUGGACUGACACUGAGGCACGAAAGCGUGGGUAGCAAACAGGAUUAGAUACCCUGGUAGUCCACGCCGUAAACGAUGAGAACUUGACGUUGGUUCGUUUUAACGAAUCGGUGUCGCNGCUACGACGAUAGUUACUCCGCCGUCGGGUAGGUACGGCCGCGAGGUUAGUAACGUACGAAGAAGUUAGACGGCGUGAGACGNGCCGACGGACGACGACGAGGGAGGUAGG